RNAcentral lists this ribosomal RNA (402 nucleotides) under bacterium. Its description in RNAcentral is "partial 16S ribosomal RNA". It matches the Rfam family "Bacterial small subunit ribosomal RNA", at positions 355 to 776 of the family's 1533-position model. The record is from RNAcentral.
UGGGGAAUUUUGCACAAUGGGGGAAACCCUGAUGCAGCGACGCCGCGUGAUUUAGAAGGCCUUCGGGUUGUAAAAAUCUUUUCUAUGGGAAGAAAAUGACAGUACCAUAGGAAUAAGGACCGGCUAAUUACGUGCCAGCAGCCGCGGUAAUACGUAAGGUCCGAGCGUUGUCCGGAAUCAUUGGGCGUAAAGGGUACGUAGGCGGGUAAGCAAGUUAGAAGUGAAAUCCUAUAGCUCAACUAUAGUAAGCUUUUAAAACUGCUCAUCUUGAGGUAUGGAAGGGACAGUGGAAUUCCUAGUGUAGCGGUGAAAUGCGCAGAUAUUAGGAGGAAUACCGGUGGCGAAGGCGACUUUCUGGCCAUAACCUGACGCUGAGGUACGAAAGCGUGGGUAGCAAACAGG